CCGAGUUUACAACUCCCAAACCCCUGUGAACACACCUAUAUGUUGCCUCGGCGGAUCAGCCCGCGCCCCGUAAAACGGGACGGCCCGCCGCAGGAUCCACAAACUCUGUUUUUAUUGUAACUUCUGAGUAACAAAACAAAUAAAUCA
RNAcentral lists this unclassified non-coding RNA (147 nucleotides) under soil metagenome. RNAcentral describes it as "partial internal transcribed spacer 1". The record is from RNAcentral.